GUAAACGGCGGCCGUAACUAUAACGGUCCUAAGGUAGCGAAAUUCCUUGUCGGGUAAGUUCCGACCUGCACGAAUGGUGUAACGAUUUGAGUACUGUCUCAACCAGAGACUCGGCGAAAUUGCAAUGUGAGUAAAGAUGCUCACUAUGCGCGACAGGACGGAAAGACCCCGGAACCUUUACUGCAACUUGAUAUUGAAUGUUGGUGUGCAGUAUGCAGGAUAAGUGGGAGACUUUGAUUUAGCGGCGCUAGUCGUUAAUGAGUCAUCCUUGAGAUACCACUUUCUUCAUAUUGACCUUCUAACCUAGAUCCGUUAUCCGGAUCAGGGACAUUGUCUGGUGGGCAGUUUCACUGGGGCGGUGGCCUCCUAAAAAGUAACGGAGGCGCUCUAAGGUCACCUCAGCGUGGACGGCAAUCACGCAUCGAGUGUAAGUGCAAAAGGUGGCUUGACUGUGACACAAACAAGUGGAGCAGGUACGAAAGUAGGAACUAGUGAUCCCAUGGUUGCAUGUGGGUGCGCCAUGGCUCAUCGGCUAAAAGGUACUCCGGGGAUAACAGGCUUAUACCCCCCAAGAGUCCAUAUCGACGGGGGUGUUUGGCACCUCGAUGUCGGCUCAUCUCAUCCUGGGGCUGGAGCAGGUCCCAAGGGUUAGGCUGUUCGCCUAUUAAAGAGGAACGCGAGCUGGGUUCAGAACGUCGUGAGACAGUUCGGUCCCUAUCCGUCGCGCACGUAAGAAAUUUGAAGAAAGUUGUCCCUAGUACGAGAGGACCGGGAUGAACGAUCCGCUGGUGUGCCAGUUGUUCUGCCAAGAGCACCGCUGGUUAGCUACGAUCGGACAGGAUAAGCGCUGAAAGCAUCUAAGUGCGAAGCCCCUUCUAAGAUAAGAUUUCUCAUCGGGUUAACCGAUUAAGACUCCUUAUAGAACAUGAGGUUGAUAGGUCAGAAGUGUAAUUACAGUAAUGUAUGUAGCUGACUGAUACUAAUAAGUCGAGGGCUUGAACUG
Molecule: ribosomal RNA, 1003 nt
Filed under: marine metagenome
Description: bacterial LSU rRNA
Rfam family: Bacterial large subunit ribosomal RNA
Source: RNAcentral